Ictalurus punctatus (channel catfish) is the source of this 2816-nucleotide long non-coding RNA. The record is from Ensembl. Lineage: Eukaryota; Metazoa; Chordata; Actinopteri; Siluriformes; Ictaluridae.
CAUUGAGCUACCACUGCUUCAUGAAAAUUUGAAAUACUGUCUGUGCAGGUGCAUUUCCAGUGUGCAUAAUCUAACACAUUCGCAUUGUUGUACACAACAGGAAACAGUCUCGUUAACAUUUCAUACAGUCCUCUGCCACUUUAUUAGGAACACUUGUACACCUGCUCAUCUGUGCAGUUGACCAAUUAGCCAACCCCAUGGCUUCAGGUAAAGAAACUGGGCGGUUAAAGAUUAAAAGUAGAAGCGACAGCUUGUUGAAUCUUAUCGAAUGUCCAACCGAGUGUCCGGUUUUAGCGAGCAAGUGCUGACUGUAGCCUCAGAUUCCUGCAGCCAGGAGUGGAUCCCAGUGUGGUCUUCUGCCGUUCUAGCCUCCUCAGGGUCCGGCGCGUUGUACAUUCUGAGAUGCUUUUCCUGGUUGUAAAGAGUGGCGAUUUGAGUAAACACAGCGUUCUUGUCAGAUCAAACCAGUCUGGCCAUCGUCCUCUUAGCUCUCCUCGAGAAGCUGUCUUCUCCCACAGAACUCACUUAGAUGUGUUUAUUUGUUCGCUUUUAUGUAUUACAUGAAAAUCUCAGGAGAUCAGCAGGUUCUGAAAUACUCAAACCAGCCUUUCGGGCACUAGUAAGACAAAUGAAUGUUGUCCUCCUUAAGUUACUUUGGUAAGGUUAUUAGGCGAUGAAGGGUGUGGGCGCUCGCUUGUGUGGUGUUCAUCUUUUCUGUCCUUCACCUACUCUCACUCUCUCCUUGGUUGGUUUUCUUUUUUUUUCCUUUUCUUUCAACGGCCCUUCUCUCAUCCGCCCCGAUCCCCAAACAGCUCCUUAAAUAGUAAUUAUUUAUGAUUGAGGCUUUGAGGUAGAAAAACAUUGAGGUGGAUUGUUUGAACAGGCUUUUAGAAACUGCAUGACUUCUCAGUGUGGAUGAUGGGUUUCUUUAUAUUUAUAUAUAUAUAUAUAUCGUUGUUGUCAUUUUGCUUUGGUGACCAGAAGGUCGGGAACAUGAAUCCGAGGUCGGAACCUCGAGCAGGACCCUUAUUAAACCCGCUGCGUGCAUCUACUGACUCUGAGAAAUGAAUCAGAAUAAAAUGACUCAUCGAGUUGUAAAACAAAGGCCGCCUUUAGAUUUUUAUUGUUUCCAACCAACCACAUGCACGCAGACGGCCUCGGAGCUAGACCGAUUGUGGGAAGGGCAUAAACGCGGCUCGGUGAAGCGGGGCGUCUGGGUAAAGGUCCUUAAAGCUGGGAGUUACGGCGUGAAGGAGAAACGGGAAUUCUGUACGGAGUCCAUGAACUAAGGUUUUCCAUUUUCCGUUUACUUUAUAGUGCAUACUACAUAGUGCAGUGAGUAUCACUUUAUAAUCACAAGUUUAAAUGCAGUGCUCCCUCUUUCGUGCUCCCCAGACCUUCUCUUCUUUCUUCACAUCUUCCUGCCAUCUCGAACUCUCCUCCUCUGCCCCUCCCCGAGGCCUUGGAUUGGGCAGGUGGAAGCUAAAGCUGGAAUGCUGGGGAAUGCAGUCAGUCCCACUCAGCAUGCACGUGCAUGACCUACAGAUCACAUCCCACUACUCGCAUGGCAAGCUGAUAUAGAAGAAGCGUGAGAUGAGCUAAGACUGGGACAGGAAUAGAGAGCAAGAUGCUGAGUGUUCCGUGGACUGGGGAGUAUUCACACACACACACACACACCACUAGAGGUGAAGGCCAGCAUCUGUGCUGCUAAGGAGGGGCAGGUCAGAGGUCAAGCUGAGUGUUUACUUUGGGUUUUGCAGCUCCUGGCUGGUGUGUGAGCAGACCAAGCAGCGAUGAUUUCCAGUAAACACGGAACUGCUUGUCUGACAGGUUCAGCACGCGGUUAUCUGAUUUAACCUGCUGAAUUUCAUUCCUACAUUCGUAAUAAAAGGCACAGAGGCCAAAGAGGCCACUCCUUCUUCAUUGGGUUCUGAUGGUCAUAAAGGCCACUCCUUCUUCAUUAGGUUCUGAUGGGCCCAAAGGCCACUCCUUCUAUAUUGGGUUCUGAUGGUCAUAAAGGCCACUCCUUCUUCAACUGGAAUGACAUGCACAGGAUUACACUGUCUUCCUGUUUAGAAAUGACAAUCACCGAAGCCACACCUCUUUUAAUGAGUGGCACAGGGACGGAAAUAAGUUAUUAAUAAAAUAUGAGUAAUGAAAUGACUUUAGCAGUAGAUGCCGUCCCAGCUUCAGUCUGAUAUAAUCACUGUUGUCUGUCAUCCUGACACGACACCGAUUCAAACUGCUGAAUCGUUCCACCCUGUUUUCCUUUCUCCUCAUGCUGUUUACUCUUAGUAUUUUUGGGCAAGUGUCACUUUUCUCUGCAUCUAUAUAAACCCUUGAAUUUAGCGACUGACCACAUAGAAGCGAACAAACACCUUAAUUAUACACCUCCCUCAUGGAAUCCCUCCACCACACACAAAUCUCACACGCUGCUUCCUCACAUAUUAUUAUGUCUUCGCGGCAGCCACUUUCACUACCCGUUUUACACGGCAGUUUUCCAUGCACGCAAACACGCCGGCAAAUAAAUCUCACUUGUAAAGUGUCAGGUCAUAAAGAUCGGUCAAAAUAAACGAUCCCCUCGAGCAGUCUUGUUCCGUCUCUGUUUUUUUGUUUUUUUUAAAGCCUUAAUUGAAAUAGUAGCUGGGUGUGGGAGCGGCAGGCUUCGGGAUUUCUUCCUGCAACACUGAAGCCUCAGAAUCUUUGUUAUAAGUGACGUUGCAGCCUGAAAAUACACUGUGUUGUAAGUGUUAUAUAUGAUAAAUGUUAUAUGUGUGUGUGUGUGUGUGUGUGUGUAUGUAUGUGUAUAUAUAUAU